UACGAACACUUGUAUGAAAUGUUCUUUGAUUUUGAGUAGUAAUGUUACUUUAAGGAAGUUUCUUUUUAUCGGAAAUCCAAUAUAAGAAGAAUGUGCCGUUACUGAUAUAACUGAUAUAACUGAUAUAACUUGUGCGGACUGCAUAGGCUAAUCUUGGGCGACAGAUAAUGCACAUGCAUUAAACCCCGUUUUCCAAAUGAUUGGUUCUAAUCUUACUUGUACGGCACAGUCGGCGUCGGUGAUCGCGAUCGGCCGUCGGCGAAGUCCUGUCGUAGACGUGUCAAGUGACUCGGAAGUGGGAGUGGGAAGUCGCGUUUUUCUGCAUUAGAGUCGCCCAUCUAAUCAUAGAUGCGCCCUCACCUUUCAUCGGACGGUCUUUUCGAAGGGGUUCCAGCUCCCCCGCGCGUCUCAGCACACCUCCCGGUGACUCCCGCAGCAACCCCGGGCUAUACACCCUCGGAGACAGGCUGUGGGCUCUGAAGUCACCCAGGGGAGACAAGUGUAUACCGCGAGUGUGCGGCGUCAAUCCGUAGUUGCCGUUCGUGACUGGUUCUUUCUUUUGAAAUUUUGAAAAGGCAAGUAAAAGAUAUUAUGAUGAUGGUGGUGGCGUUGAUCGUAAAGAUGCUCAUGAAAAAUGAGAAUUAUGAGAAAUAUGAGAAAAAUAAAUAAAUAAAAUAAUUAUAAAAAAAUAAAAUAUAAUAAUAAUAACGAGGAAGAAGAUGAUAAUGAAGAAGAAGAAGAUGAUGAUAAUGGUGAUGAUGAGACGACGAUGAUGAUGAUGAUGAUUAGGAUGAUGAUAAUAAUCAUGAUUACGAUGAUGAUGAUGAUGAUGAUGAAAAUGAUGAUGAUGAUGAUAAUGAUGAUGAUGAUAUACACAUUAAUCCGCUCCUGUAAUUCACAUUUUAAACUUGCUGUAAAUAUCUUCAGACGUUAAUAAAAAACACCCAACAUUUUCUUUAAAAGCAAAUAAACAUGCAGUCCGAAGUUA
Molecule: long non-coding RNA, 988 nt
Organism: Dreissena polymorpha
Lineage: Eukaryota; Metazoa; Mollusca; Bivalvia; Myida; Dreissenidae
Exons: 2
Source: RefSeq, a predicted model, not a curated record